CGUAGGUGGCAAGCGUUGUCCGGAUUUAUUGGGUUUAAAGGGUGCGUAGGCGGCCCUGUAAGUCAGUGCUGAAAUAUCCCAGCUUAACUGGGAGGGUGGCAUUGAUACUGCGGGGCUAGAGUACAGAUGAGGUAGGCGGAAUUGACGGUGUAGCGGUGAAAUGCUUAGAUAUCGUCAAGAACACCUAUAGCGAAGGCAGCUUACUAGGCUGUAACUGACGCUGAGGCACGAAAGUGUGGGGAUCAAACAGGAUUAGAUACCCUGGUAGUCCACACUGUAAACGUUGAUUACUCGCUGUGUGCGAUAUACAGUACGCGGCCAAGCGAAAGCGCUAAGUAAUCCACCUGGGGAGUAUGCCGGCAACGGUG
Molecule: ribosomal RNA, 368 nt
Filed under: uncultured organism
Description: bacterial SSU rRNA
Rfam family: Bacterial small subunit ribosomal RNA
Source: RNAcentral